GGAAGUAAAAGUCGUAACAAGGUUUCCGUAGGUGAACCUGCGGAAGGAUCAUUAUUGAAUUAUGUUUUCUAGAUGGGUUGUAGCUGGCUUUCAGGAGCAUGUGCACGCCUGUCUGGACUUCAUUUUCAUCCACCUGUGCACCUUUUGUAGUCUUUGUUGGGUAUUGAGGAAGUGGUCAGCCUAUCAGCAUUGCUGAAUAAGAGAACUUGCAGUGCGAAAGCAUUGCUAUCCUCUACUUGGCCAUGGAAUCUUUUUUCCUGUCAGAGUCUAUGUUAUUCAUUAUACCUUACAGAAAGUUAUUGAAUGUCUUUACAUGGGCUUCUAAGCUUAUGAAAAUUAUAAUACAACUUUCAGCAACGGAUCUCUUGGCUCUCGCAUCGAUGAAGAACGCAGCGAAAUGCGAUAAGUAAUGUGAAUUGCAGAAUUCAGUGAAUCAUCGAAUCUUUGAACGCAUCUUGCGCUCCUUGGUAUUCCGAGGAGCAUGCCUGUUUGAGUGUCAUUAAAUUCUCAACUCUCCUAUACUUUGUUGUAAAGGAAAGCUUGGAUUGUGGAGGCUUGCUGGCCACUUAUUGAGGUCAGCUCCUCUGAAAUGUAUUAGCAGAACUGUUUGCGAUCUGCCACAAGUGUGAUAAAUUAUCUACACUGGCAAGGGGGAUUGCUCUCUGUGUUCCGCUUCUAAUCGUCUCAGUGACAAUUUCUUGAAUACUUGACCUCAAAUCAGGUAGGACUACCCGCUGAACUUAAGCAUAUCAAUAAGCGGAGGA
This 764-nucleotide ribosomal RNA is filed under the name Agaricus romagnesii. RNAcentral's name for it is "eukaryotic LSU rRNA". The stretch from base 346 to 499 matches the Rfam family "5.8S ribosomal RNA". Lineage: Eukaryota; Fungi; Basidiomycota; Agaricomycetes; Agaricales; Agaricaceae. The record is from RNAcentral.